Lolium rigidum is the source of this 558-nucleotide long non-coding RNA. RefSeq lists it as uncharacterized. Lineage: Eukaryota; Viridiplantae; Streptophyta; Magnoliopsida; Poales; Poaceae. The record is from RefSeq and is a predicted model, not a curated record. The transcript is spliced from 4 exons.
UCCAGCUUCUACUCCACUACCUCGACGCCGAAGACCACUUCCACGACCCCCGCGUCGACUACGCCGUUCCCCUACUCCGGCUCGCCUCUCCUUCGUGUUCCGGCACGGUCUGGCUUCUCUAGAUCGAAAAUGUGAUGGUGUUGUGAUGGUGUUGCUGCUUCCUAUGCUGGCCGUGGCAUCUCACCGUGGUGCGGUGGUAGGCAGUAGCUAUCCCCCUUCUUCAUCUACCUCAACUACUUGUUCGUCUAGGCCUUCCUCUCGGACCUUUUCAUGAAUAGAACUUUUAUCUUUAAUCUGAGGAAGCUAACUAAGAUGUAAGAAUUCCAAAUGCAGUAUCAAGGUGGAGAUCCAUGAUGGACCUUACAAUGUCAUCAAGAACUAUAACUACAACGGCCUUGUGGAAACCAUCCACAAUGUGGAGCACAAGUGCUGAACUGCCAAGGAGGUUGCUCAUAGGCAGCAAUAUUUCUUCUCGAAAAACUACAGGAACAAUAGACUGAAGCACAUCCUACCCCGUCCUCCUCCAGAACCAACUCCUGCGUCUGCACCAGCACCACU